AGAGUUUGAUCCUGGCUCAGGAUGAACGCUAGCGACAGGCUUAACACAUGCAAGUCGAGGGGCAGCAUAAAAGUAGCAAUACUUGGUGGCGACCGGCGCACGGGUGAGUAACGCGUAUGCAACCUACCUAUCAGAGGGGAAUAACCCGGCGAAAGUCGGACUAAUACCGCAUAAAACAGGGGCACCGCAUGGUGAUAUUUGUUAAAGAAAUUCGCUGAUAGAUGGGCAUGCGUUCCAUUAGGUAGUUGGUGAGGUAACGGCUCACCAAGCCGACGAUGGAUAGGGGAACUGAGAGGUUGGUCCCCCACACUGGUACUGAGACACGGACCAGACUCCUACGGGAGGCAGCAGUGAGGAAUAUUGGUCAAUGGGCGGGAGCCUGAACCAGCCAAGUCCGCGUGAAGGAAGAAGGAUCUAUGGUUCGUAAACUUCUUUUGCAGGGGAAUAAAGUACAGGACGUGUCCUGUUUUGUAUGUACCCUGAGAAUAAGGAUCGGCUAACUCCGUGCCAGCCGCCGC
This 518-nucleotide ribosomal RNA is filed under the name uncultured bacterium. RNAcentral describes it as "bacterial SSU rRNA". It matches the Rfam family "Bacterial small subunit ribosomal RNA", at positions 8 to 518 of the family's 1533-position model. The record is from RNAcentral.